UCAGGCCUAACACAUGCAAGUCGAACGAGAUUAUAGGGUAAGCUUGCUUACCUUAUAUGACAGUGGCGCACGGGUGCGUAAUGCGUAUGCAAUCUACCUUAAUCAGGGGGAUAGCCUCUCGAAAGAGAGAUUAAUACCGCAUAACAUUAUGAUAUGGCAUCAUAUUAUAAUCAAACAUUUAUGGGAUUAAGAUGAGCAUGCGUGACAUUAGCUAGUUGGUGAGGUAACGGCUCACCAAGGCAACGAUGUCUAGGGGAUCUGAGAGGAUGACCCCCCACACUGGUACUGAGACACGGACCAGACUCCUACGGGAGGCAGCAGUAAGGAAUAUUGGUCAAUGGACGCAAGUCUGAACCAGCCAUGCCGCGUGCAGGAAGACGGCCCUAUGGGUUGUAAACUGCUUUUAUACGGGAAUAAACCUUCUUUCGUGAAAGAAGCUGAA
This 442-nucleotide ribosomal RNA is filed under the name uncultured bacterium. RNAcentral describes it as "bacterial SSU rRNA". It matches the Rfam family "Bacterial small subunit ribosomal RNA", at positions 42 to 473 of the family's 1533-position model. The record is from RNAcentral.